UUUUCCUUAAACACAAUUAAUAUUUUUCCCUGAAGUUCAUCCUUCUUCCCCACAUCUAUGUACUUUCAUUUUGACACAUAUUUAUAUACCUACGUGUAUGUGUAUAUGUAUAAGUGUGUACAUGAUAUUGAAUCACUUUUUAGUUUUUUUUGGCAUUUUUUUCAUACUUCAAGCAUGAAUUUGCUGAAACAAAACAAGAACGGAAACGGAAGAACAGUGACGUAUGCGAGGGUAAAAGAAAUGAAUAACAAUAAAAAAGUAAUAAUUGAGGAUGCAAAAAUACGGAAGUGCACAGCUGGUAUUAAAGCAAGAAGGGUAAGGGGAGUUUAAUUCCAACAACAAUUACAACUAAUAACUCGAACGGAGCUUGAAAUCACAACAAAUGAGUUGGAGGGAAUAUAUAAAUUGGUAGAAUGUUGGAAACAGCUGUUUACAAACCAAAAGGGGGCACAAGCAAUUCGAGAGUAACAAGUAGUAUUUGUACAAAGAGUGUGAAAAAUGCUGGCGCAUAAGUAUCGGAUCCACAUAACCUCUAUAAAUUGGAUUUAUAAUAUUUAUAAUAUUGAAAAUAAUGACUAAGGGUUUUAUGAGAUGCAGACAUAAGAGAGGAUAUCAUUUUAACUGUGGACGAAUCAAAGACCUGCCCAGCGGUAUCAUGCACCUCUAAUCAUCACACCAUCCUCAAUGCCGCGCUGAACCCUUCUCAAGGAUCGCCAAGGGAUUAACUAAGUGAAUUGUCGCUUGAACCACCACAAAAGCAUUGGGACACAAUAUGGCAUUGUUAGCUGUUAGUGUGAUAAGAGCUGCGAUCUACCAGUUGGUACCUCUUUGUUCUAGCCGUUGAUGUAUAUACACCUAACGUCGUAGCGGUUAAAGUGAGGUGAAUAUGCAUUGUAUGUAGAUAUGUAAACAGUUUUGACAUUAGCUCCUAAUAAUCACACUCUUACAUUUGGGCAUAAAGACGCAAACGUCCGCCUGACAGCAUUUACAUGAAAACGGUCUUAGUGUCUUUAUGUGUCUGCUGUAUUUUGUUGCAUUUCCCUUAGAGUCCUUUGGGGCCCAAUAACGCCACUAAUGCGAUUACCAAUGUGGAAGGAAUCGGCAAAUGUCCUUGUUGUCAAAGGUAACCCAGGCAAAGCAAAACCGGCGAGUCAAGUGCAAAAGGGAAAGUGAGUGAUUCUCGUAUUUGUAUGUAUGUAUGUGUUGAUGCUUUCUUCCUGUAUGCAAGAACAAUUGUGUUAUAUAAUUGUAUGUAUAUAUACAUACAU
Long non-coding RNA from Bactrocera neohumeralis, 1268 nucleotides. RefSeq lists it as uncharacterized. Lineage: Eukaryota; Metazoa; Arthropoda; Insecta; Diptera; Tephritidae. The transcript is spliced from 3 exons. The record is from RefSeq and is a predicted model, not a curated record.